UACGAAGGGGGCUAGCGUUGCUCGGAAUCACUGGGCGUAAAGCGCACGUAGGCGGAUCUUUAAGUCAGGGGUGAAAUCCCGAGGCUCAACCUCGGAACUGCCCUUGAUACUGGGGAUCUCGAGUCCGGAAGAGGUUGGUGGAACUCCGAGUGUAGAGGUGAAAUUCGUUAGAUAUUAGGAAGAACACCAGUGGCGAAGGCGGCUCACUGGCCCGGUACUGACGCUG
This 226-nucleotide ribosomal RNA is filed under the name uncultured bacterium. RNAcentral's name for it is "partial 16S ribosomal RNA". It matches the Rfam family "Bacterial small subunit ribosomal RNA", at positions 524 to 748 of the family's 1533-position model. The record is from RNAcentral.